AUUGAACGCUGGCGGUAUGCUUAACACAUGCAAGUCGAACGGUAACAGGCCUUCGGGCGCUGACGAGUGGCGGACGGUGAGUAACGCGUAGGAAUCUGCCCUCAUAGUGGGGACAACGUGGGGAAACUCACGCUAAUACCGCAUACGCCCUACGGGGAAAGCGGGGAUCUUCGGACCUCGCGCUAUGAGAUGAGCCUGCGUUAGAUUAGCUAGUUGGUAGGGUAAAGGCCUACCAAGGCGACGAUCUAUAGCUGGUCUGAGAGGACGAUCAGCCACACUGGGACUGAGACACGGCCCAGACUCCUACGGGAGGCAGCAGUGGGGAAUAUUGGACAAUGGGCGCAAGCCUGAUCCAGCAAUACCGCGUGUGUGAAGAAGGCCCUAGGUGUAAAGCACUUUCAAUUGGGAGGAAAACCUGUCGGUCGAAUACCCGGCAGCUUGACAUUG
Molecule: ribosomal RNA, 447 nt
Filed under: uncultured bacterium
Lineage: Bacteria
Description: bacterial SSU rRNA
Rfam family: Bacterial small subunit ribosomal RNA
Source: RNAcentral